GGCGCGUUGGCAGAAUGGUUUAUGCGAUGGAUUGCAAAUCCAGCAAUCUCGGUUCAAUUCCGAGACGCGCCU
This 72-nucleotide transfer RNA is filed under the name Wigglesworthia glossinidia endosymbiont of Glossina brevipalpis. RNAcentral's name for it is "tRNA-Cys (GCA) (tRNA-Cys-GCA-1-1)". It matches the Rfam family "tRNA". From Rfam's summary of the family: Transfer RNA (tRNA) molecules are approximately 80 nucleotides in length. The record is from Rfam by way of RNAcentral. Lineage: Bacteria; Pseudomonadati; Pseudomonadota; Gammaproteobacteria; Enterobacterales; Erwiniaceae.